Molecule: unclassified non-coding RNA, 620 nt
Filed under: Hevea brasiliensis (rubber tree)
Lineage: Eukaryota; Viridiplantae; Streptophyta; Magnoliopsida; Malpighiales; Euphorbiaceae
Source: RNAcentral
CCUGGAUUCAGAAAAUGCGCAUACACAAUCAAAGAGAGGAAUUGAGUCAUUUAUGAAUUGGUUUGUAAAAAUAAAAAAGAAAAAGAAUAGAAAUGAAGAAUUAGGAUUAUAGAAACCCUGAGCUUUGGUUGGAAGAAAAGCAGCGGCGUCUCCAUCAACCAUGAUACAUCUAGCUCUAUGUAAAUCCUCUUCGAGCUUAUCAGCUAGCUUGGAAUCGAGAAGCUUAUGGGAGAGGAGAGAAUCGAGGAGGGAGCGGCAGCGACGUAUGGAAGAGUCGAGGGAAAGAACACGCUGGCGGAGGGACUGUUCAUCGUUGGAAGACCUUGAGAUUAAAGAAGCCGCAGAAUCCUGCAGGUCUUUGGCCUGCUCAACCACUCUAGCGACCUCAUCCUCAAUCUUGUUGGCGGAUUCCUCGACGGUGGAAUUGGAAUCCAUGAAAUUAAAUCCUUGCAGAAGCUAUCUCUAUCCGUAUGUAAUUUACACGCACAUAACUGAAAUCUGUGCUUCCUUGUCCUUUUGAAAACAUAACCUAUCUCUCUCUCUCUCUUUCUCUAUGUGCGGCGGAUGCACGAUAUCACGUGGACUCUCUUGCUGAUUCAACAAUCCUUGGCAUGUUUUCU